This 458-nucleotide ribosomal RNA is filed under the name uncultured bacterium. RNAcentral's name for it is "partial 16S ribosomal RNA". It matches the Rfam family "Bacterial small subunit ribosomal RNA", at positions 338 to 795 of the family's 1533-position model. The record is from RNAcentral.
CCUACGGGGGGCAGCAGUGGGGAAUAUUGCACAAUGGGGGAAACCCUGAUGCAGCGACGCCGUGUGAGUGAAGAAGCGUUUCGGCGCGUAAAGCUCUGUCAGCGGGGAAGAAACACGGUUCGCGAGAGCCGCGGACGGUACCCGACCAAGAAGCCCCGGCUAACUUCGUGCCAGCAGCCGCGGGAAUACGGAGGGGGCAAGCGUUAUCCGGAUUCACUGGGGGUAAAGGGAGAGUAGAAGGGGGGACAAGUCUGGAGUGAAAGGCCGGGGCCCAACCCCGGGACUGCUCUGGAAACGGCCUGGCGGGAGGACAGGAGAGGGAAGUGGAAUUCCUGGUGGAGCGGUGAAAUGCGUAGAUAUUAGGAGGAACACCAGUGGCGAAGGCGGCUUACUGGACUGUAACUGACGUUGAGGCUCGAAAGCGUGGGGAGCAAACAGGAGUAGAUACCCGGGUAGUC